UGGGGGAUAUUGCACAAUGGGCGAAAGCCUGAUGCAGCGACGCCGCGUGGGGGAUGAAGGCCUUCGGGUUGUAAACUUCUUUUGCUCUGAACAAGGCGCACCAUGGGGUGUGUUGAGUGUAGGGGUUGAUUAGCGCCGGGUAACUACGUGCCAGCAGCCGCGGUAAUACGUAGGGCGCGAGCGUUGUCCGGAAUUAUUGGGCGUAAAGGGCUUGUAGGUGGCUGGUUGCGUCUGUCGUGAAAGCUCAUGGCUUAACUGUGGGUUUGCGGUGGGUACGGGCUGGCUUGAGUGCAGUAGGGGAGGCUGGAAUUCCUGGUGUAGCGGUGGAAUGCGCAGAUAUCAGGAGGAAUACCGGUGGCGAAGGCGGGUCUCUGGGCUGUUACUGACACUGAGGAGCGAAAGCAUGGGGAGCGAACAGG
Molecule: ribosomal RNA, 419 nt
Filed under: bacterium
Lineage: Bacteria
Description: partial 16S ribosomal RNA
Rfam family: Bacterial small subunit ribosomal RNA
Source: RNAcentral